Molecule: ribosomal RNA, 253 nt
Filed under: uncultured bacterium
Lineage: Bacteria
Description: partial 16S ribosomal RNA
Rfam family: Bacterial small subunit ribosomal RNA
Source: RNAcentral
UACGGAGGGUGCGAGCGUUAAUCGGAAUUACUGGGCGUAAAGCGCACGCAGGCGGUUUGUUAAGCUAGAUGUGAAAGCCCCGGGCUCAACCUGGGAUGGUCAUUUAGAACUGGCAGACUAGAGUCUUGGAGAGGGGAGUGGAAUUCCAGGUGUAGCGGUGAAAUGCGUAGAUAUCUGGAGGAACAUCAGUGGCGAAGGCGACUCCCUGGCCAAAGACUGACGCUCAUGUGCGAAAGUGUGGGNAGCGAACAGG